RNAcentral lists this long non-coding RNA (545 nucleotides) under Vigna radiata. RNAcentral describes it as "long non-coding RNA (VRAD_LNC003352)". The record is from RNAcentral. Lineage: Eukaryota; Viridiplantae; Streptophyta; Magnoliopsida; Fabales; Fabaceae.
UCACAUAUAUAUAAGGACAUGAUCAUAAUAGAAGUCACAUAAACAUUUUAUUUAAAGUAAGAAAAAGGUUGGAAGAUGGAAGAAAGGAAUAGGUAGUCCUUGAUCCAAUAAGGGUGGAAGAAGGAAUGUAAAAGAAAAGAAGAAAAAAAGAAACAUGGAAUAUGUGACUGGCAGCGGGGAUGAGAUCAAGCUCUGGUGAGGUUACAGGCAGUAACAGUCAUGUCGAUCGAUCUAUUGUAGUCGUUCCCAAAUCUUAAUUCUGCUUCAACAACGCUUUGUUCGCAAAGACGUCUGUCAUUGUCAAUGCAUACACGAGCUUGGGCAGGACUCAACCCCUGAAGGCGGGAGCAGCAAGAAGUAGACCCCACCACUCCCAGUCUGAUGCACUCCCGAAACAACCCAGUUGUAUUAUUUAUAGGACAUUCAACAUCAUCAUCUUGAGACCUCACCAUUGAGACUGAUAACAGACUCAGUGAGAGGAAGACAGCCAAAACAUAUUUCAUCCAACCCAUUCUCACAACACUACUUCCUUACUUUUCUUUUUU